Molecule: ribosomal RNA, 384 nt
Filed under: uncultured prokaryote
Description: bacterial SSU rRNA
Rfam family: Archaeal small subunit ribosomal RNA
Source: RNAcentral
GCGAAAACUUUACAAUGCUGGCAACAGCGAUAAGGGAACCUCGAGUGCCAGGUUACAAAUCUGGCUGUCGAGAUGCCUAAAAAGCAUUUCAUAGCAAGGGCCGGGCAAGACCGGUGCCAGCCGCCGCGGUAACACCGGCGGCUCGAGUGGUAACCGUUAUUAUUGGGUCUAAAGGGUCUGUAGCCGGCCGGAUAAGUCUCUUGAGAAAUCUGGCAGCUUAACUGUCAGGCUUUCAGGAGAUACUGUCUGGCUCGAGGCCGGGAGAGGUGAGGGGUACUUCAGGGGUAGGGGUGAAAUCUUGUAAUCCUUGAAGGACAACCAGUGGCGAAGGCGGCUCACCAGAACGGACCUGACGGCAAGGGACGAAAGCUAGGGGCACGAACC